GCGAACGGGUGAGUAACACGUGGGCAAUCUGCCCUUCACUCUGGGACAAGCCCUGGAAACGGGGUCUAAUACCGGAUACCACUACCGCAGGCAUCUGUGGUGGUUGAAAGCUCCGGCGGUGAAGGAUGAGCCCGCGGCCUAUCAGCUUGUUGGUGAGGUAAUGGCUCACCAAGGCGACGACGGGUAGCCGGCCUGAGAGGGCGACCGGCCACACUGGGACUGAGACACGGCCCAGACUCCUACGGGAGGCAGCAGUGGGGAAUAUUGCACAAUGGGCGAAAGCCUGAUGCAGCGACGCCGCGUGAGGGAUGACGGCCUUCGGGUUGUAAACCUCUUUCAGCAGGGAAGAAGCGAAAGUGACGGUACCUGCAGAAGAAGCGCCGGCUAACUACGUGCCAGCAGCCGCGGUAAUACGUAGGGCGCAAGCGUUGUCCGGAAUUAUUGGGCGUAAAGAGCUCGUAGGCGGCUUGUCACGUCGGGUGUGAAAGCCCGGGGCUUAACCCCGGGUCUGCAUUCGAUACGGGCUAGCUAGAGUGUGGUAGGGGAGAUCGGAAUUCCUGGUGUAGCGGUGAAAUGCGCAGAUAUCAGGAGGAACACCGGUGGCGAAGGCGGAUCUCUGGGCCAUUACUGACGCUGAGGAGCGAAAGCGUGGGGAGCGAACAGGAUUAGAUACCCUGGUAGUCCA
This 685-nucleotide ribosomal RNA is filed under the name Streptomyces sp. CA_LC_27. RNAcentral describes it as "bacterial SSU rRNA". It matches the Rfam family "Bacterial small subunit ribosomal RNA", at positions 98 to 797 of the family's 1533-position model. Lineage: Bacteria; Bacillati; Actinomycetota; Actinomycetes; Kitasatosporales; Streptomycetaceae. The record is from RNAcentral.